GACGAACCACACGAACGUUAUUCGGAAUUACUGGGCUUAAAGGGUGCGUAGGCGGCGCGGUAAGUAGGGUGUGAAAGCCCGGGGCUCAACCCCGGAAUGGCUUUCGAAACUGCUGAGCUAGAGUACAGAAGGGGCAACCGGAAUUCCCAGUGUAGCGGUGAAAUGCGUAGAUAUUGGGAAGAACACCUGAGGCGAAGGCGGGUUGCUGGGCUGAUACUGACGCUGAGGCGCGAAAGCGUGGGGAGCGAACAGG
Molecule: ribosomal RNA, 253 nt
Filed under: uncultured bacterium
Lineage: Bacteria
Description: partial 16S ribosomal RNA
Rfam family: Bacterial small subunit ribosomal RNA
Source: RNAcentral